Molecule: long non-coding RNA, 737 nt
Organism: Chlorocebus sabaeus (green monkey)
Lineage: Eukaryota; Metazoa; Chordata; Mammalia; Primates; Cercopithecidae
Source: RefSeq, a predicted model, not a curated record
UGACAAAAUCUCUGUCGCUGACAAUUGCAGCAUUCCCUUUGCACUCAUAAGCCUGUGAGUCAGCUGGGGGCCUCUCUCACUGCAGACCCUGCUGGCUCUGCUCCACAAGUCUCUCACCUUCCUGGGACCAGAGAAGCCAGUUGGGGAGUGUUCUUUUCAUAGUGAAGGCUGAGCAUAGGCUGGCAAAUGGAAAUGCAUGAUGCUUCCUAAGGCCUCAGACCUAGCAACUAUCAGUUCCACUUUCCUCGUCUUAUAAAAUUCUUCUUCUCAAUGACACCAGCAUCAUUAUUGAUUUGCUUUCUACUAACACACAAAUAGCCUCUGAAUAAGAAUGCCAACACUAUCACCAAAAAGGCCCGCAGCUUUCAUAAGAAGGCAGGAGUUUCUGGAGAAGAGCGUUGUGUUCCUCAGUCUGUAGACCCCGAGACACUGAUUCACGGCAAGACUCACCGUGACAAGAAUAUAAACAUCUCUUCAUUUGAUGAGGAAGAAAAGCUUUGAUGAAGAAACUUGACAAGAACUUUACAAGGAAGAAAAAUUACCAACCAAUUUCUCCUAUCAACGUAGACGAAGAAUUCUAAACAAAAUGUGAGCACAUUGAAUUCCAUUUUAUGUAAAUAGGAUAAAACAUUAUGACAAAAUCACGUUUAUUGAACAAUGCAAGAUUGGUUUGCUAUUCAAAAAUCAAUGAAAUAUGAAUACAUAUGUAGAGAGACUAAAUGUUAAGAAACUCGUGA